AACGCACGAGACCUGCGGACCUGCGGAAGGAUCAUUACUGAAGUGAUUUGGGGAUGUUGCUGGCCCUCUCUCUCAAGGAGGGCAUGGUGCACUCCUCGAAACAAUUCACAAUUUCCAUCACACCCCUUGUGCACACCUUGUAGGCACCCAAACCCACCUCCGGGUGGUGGGGUCCUAUGUAUUCCUUCAUCUCACACUCUGUUGAAUGGUGCCAUGGGACGCAUCUAAAGGAUUAUUUGU
Molecule: unclassified non-coding RNA, 240 nt
Filed under: soil metagenome
Description: partial contains 5.8S ribosomal RNA, internal transcribed spacer 2, and large subunit ribosomal RNA
Source: RNAcentral